CCGGUCACAACCAGGCUGCUCACCGACAGGCGGGGCUGAGCCGGAGCGGCUGAGGGCCGCCCGGCGGCAGCACCUCAUGGCAUGCACGGGCGACACCGCCUGAGGGCUCGCCCUCCGUGGGCGGGAAGGCGGAGAGGGCUCCUCCUCCUGCUGCUCUAGUUACCGGGCUGCAGUAGUGCCGGGGAGCUCGGAGGGGAUGAGCCCCGCUGCGGCUGCGCUCCGGCAGCCCGUGAGCCAUGCCCUGGGGGAACGGCUCGGCCGCCACCAGCCUUCUGGAGCCCCCCGCGGCGGAGCAGGAGGCGCCGGGCGAGCGGCCCCCCUUCAGCGCCGGCACCUACGAGCUGCUGGCGCUGCUCAUCGCCACCAUCGGCGUGCUGGGCUUGUGCAACAACUUGCUGGUGCUGGUGCUCUACUACAAGUUCAAGCGGCUCCGCACGCCCACCAACCUCUUCCUCGUCAACAUCAGCCUCAGCGACCUGCUGGUGUCCGUCUUCGGCGUGAGCCUCACCUUCAUGUCCUGCCUGAGGAGCCGCUGGGUCUGGGACGCCGCCGGCUGCGUCUGGGACGGCUUCAGCAACAGCCUCUUCGGAAUUGUUUCAAUUAUGACUCUCACUGUUCUCGCCUAUGAACGCUACAUUCGAGUGGUCCAUGCAAAAGUGAUUGACUUCUCCUGGUCCUGGCGGGCUAUCACAUACAUCUGGCUCUAUUCAUUGGCCUGGACCGGAGCACCUCUUUUGGGCUGGAACAGAUACACAUUGGAAAUUCAUGGAUUAGGUUGCUCGGUGGACUGGAAGUCAAAAGACCCCAAUGACACCUCCUUUGUGCUCUUUUUUUUUCUUGGCUGUCUGGUUGUACCUGUUGUGAUCAUGGCCUAUUGCUAUGGACAUAUUCUAUAUGCAGUAAGAAUGCUUCGCAGUGUGGAAGAUUUUCAGACUGUUCAAGUGAUCAGACUUCUAAAAUACGAAAAGAAGGUGGCUAAGAUGUGUUUCUUAAUGAUCUCUACCUUCCUUAUUUGUUGGAUGCCCUAUGCAGUGGUCUCCCUUCUAGUAACAUAUGGCUAUGGCAACCUUGUAACUCCAACAGUAGCUAUCAUCCCAUCUUUCUUUGCCAAGUCAAGCACUGCUUAUAAUCCAGUCAUCUAUAUUUUCAUGAGUAGAAAGUUUCGACAAUGCCUUUUGCAACUCUUGUGCUUUCGCUUGAUGAGAUUCCAGAGGACUGCGAAAGAGACCCCAGGAGAAGAGAAUGACAAACCAAUACGACCAAUAGUAAUGUCUCAAAAAGGAGGGGAUAGGCCAAAGAAGAAAGUCACAUUUAGCUCUUCCUCUAUCAUUUUUAUUAUCACCAGUGAUGACACUCAACAAAUAGAUGAUAACAGUAAAGAAAAUGGAACAAAAGUAAAUGUCAUCCAAGUAAAGCCACUAUAAGGAUGAGCUGAAGAGUCAUUGGAAACUGAUGGACUAUUUGGGCUGGAGACUGGUUUCAAUAAUAGUGCCAGUGGGCUGCCAAGGAAGCCAUAUUAAGCUGUGAAAUACUGAGGGAAUGGAAGAGGAAGAUGCUUAGGAUUCACACUUGGACCAUUCACUGUUCGUAAAGUAACAAAUUCAGAAAGAGUAAAAAAGAGGAAAGAAAGAGGAAAAUAAAGGAGAAAUCAUGAAGGGCAAAAGAAUGAGAAGAGAUGAGAAGGGCACACAAUUAACAGAAGUUUUAAAUAAACUAGUUUAAGAAUUUUAAUGAUCCCAUCAUACAAAGGGAAGCAGCAGGUGUGGUGAGUACCAUGAUAGCCUCAGAGUCAAUUCAUUUCUUUUAACAAAGUUUCAUUGAAACUAUAGGAUGCAUAAUGCAGAUCUGCUCUGCAGCCUUAUAACCAUCCUUUUUUAGCUCCCAGAAUGAGCUAGAUUUAUGCUGAAUGUAACUGACUUCAUGCAGAAAAGUUGGGUUUUAUAGUACUGAGACAUUAUCUUUUAUCACAGUGAUUAAGUCAGUCAGGAAAUCAGUAUUCACAAGCAUUAUCUUUUGUACUCCCAUUCUUUGCAUAACACCAGUAGCAGAGGAUGCCAUUUUCUGCUAAAGUACUGCAGCAAUAGCUGAAUGAAAUGGAUAUUCAAGUAUAGUAUUGUUAAAGGCUGUUUUUUUUCUGGAUGGUUUAGCACGAUAUAUUUAUCCUUAGCUUAUAUCAACAGCCUUCAGCUCAAGAACAAAAAUCAACUAUAUAAUAUUCAGACAUAAAGGAUAAAAAAAAAAAAUCUAGUGCUGGUGGCAAAAGAUUUCACAAAUUGAUAUUUGACCCAUAUAUAAACAGCUCAGUAUGAAAGUAUCUGCUAGGUAUUUAAGUAUCUCUUUCAAGGAGUAAAAGACACCUGCAGAAGCUCAAUGGGUGCUGCAACCUGCAUUUCUGGAGAGUACCAAGGCAAGAUGUAACAAAAAAAGUGUGAUGUUUUUGGAGACAAAGAAUUGGGAAAUCCAGUUUGGGAAGAUUGGGCAGAGAAUGGAUAGGAACGUAAAACUGGCUUUGCAGCUGCGGGGGCCCAGCCAGCACUGGAAAGUGCUGAUGCCUCUGUCUUCUGUGAUACAAACAUCCACUAAUUUCAUCAACAUUAGUAUCCAUUGCUGCUGAUGUGCUUUGGAAAGCCUCUUCUAUAAAAUCUAAAGACAGUAAAUCUAGGUAUUAGAUGAAAAUAAUUUGGAAAAUCAAGAAUCAAAGAUCUGUGAAGUUAUUUUGAGGAGAUACUACAGGCUGGAAGCCUGGAAAACAAUCAGCAAGUCUUUGUCUUUUCAGACCUCAGUGAAUAAAAGUGGCAAUGGAUGAGGCAAUAAAUACUAUAGAACUUAUUACAUGACUUUUUUUUGGGCAGAAAAUUUUGAAAACAAAAGUGUUUAUACUAGAAAAGCAAAACAUCUUAAUGGAAAAGGUUUGAUACCAAAAGCAUAGACAAGCAAAAAAUGUGGAGGCCUAAAAGAUGUGCAUGGAAGAACACCAAAGGAUGCAGAUGUGUUUCUGAGCAGCAAAAAUCUAUGUAGCGGCUUCAAACCAGAAAACAAGGGAGAGGGAGGGCUUGGGCAAAACAAUUUAUGUUAUUGGUAUUACACAGCAGUAAUGUGAACUAUACUGAGAAGUAAUGUCUGUUUUACCACAGUUAUUAUUUCUUGACUCUUGUAAAGGAAAUGGGGAACAGGGGGUGAAGCUGGAACAGUCCCAGAGGGUGUGGAUGAAUGUUCUUGCUGCUACUAAGGUUGGUGAUAGCUUCUGAGUUGGACUGGUACUUUCAUGCGCCCCAGUCCCUCCUUCCAUGACAGCAAUGGCAGGAUCAAAAGCAGAAGGGAGACUCAGCUCUUUGAACUGCAGCACCUGAUCUUCCUUUCUUCUUGGCACAGGCAAUCUGUGCAGCCUUUUAGUCCCAGCUGCCUCACACCCACGGCCUCUUUGCUGCUGUUCUGACCUGGCUCUGCGUAUAAUUUAUCCACCUAAUGCUGAACAUUAUGAAUGCCUUUCUCUCUCUCUGCCUCUUUAACAGAUUAGUAUUGAAGAUUUACUUGCAAGGAAUUAAAGCCGAAGAGGAAAUUAAAUUGAUUUUCACUACAAAUUAGAAUGCAGGUUAUCAGCUGUAGGCUCAGCAUCAAACACUUCUGGACCUGGCUCUUUUACAGUUGGUUCAUUGCGUUUUCGACAGUGUUUGUUCUCCCUCUUGUGGUUAAAUCAGCACUUCCUAAUAGAACAAAGAGCCUGGCUGCCUAUUUUCAUUACACAUUACGUUGCUGGAGCAGUAUGUCUAAAUCCACUUUUUGCCUUGAUGAAACUUUCUCCAGCUGAAAGUAGAAUUCCAUCUUGUACUUUGUAAAGUAGCUUGACGUCUGCUCUGAGGAAGAGCUGUUAGCCAUGUUAGGCUUACCGUGCUUUCUUUAUAGAGAGGUGAUUGAGACUGAGGCCAGAAUAUGGAGCAGACUUGGAAUUUUGUCUCUGUUAUGAAUGGAUCUUAGAUAAAAAAUGAGAAAAUACUCUUUGUCUUUACAUGUCAUGCUGUCUUCAAGAUUUAUCUAAUUACCUAGUACCAGUUGAAACUCAAUACAGUGUGCCUCUGAUUUGGUUUGCUGUGCUGGUGUGAGUGGUGUAGUGAGCACAUGGG
Anas platyrhynchos (mallard) is the source of this 4121-nucleotide RNA transcript. It is a transcript of the gene named opsin 3, with no coding region annotated. The record is from RefSeq and is a predicted model, not a curated record. NCBI's taxonomy places the organism in Eukaryota, Metazoa, Chordata, Aves, Anseriformes, Anatidae.